ACAGCGUGGCAAGACUGCUGAGACGCAUAAAGAAAUCUUAGCUGGAAUGCCUUCUCAGAAUCUUGAUUUUCAAAGUGAUGGAUUGGGAGAUCCCAAGCCAUGAAUAAAGGGUGCUCAUCACAGAUGGAACAAUGGCGAGAGCACACCUGGACAGGGGAGGGGCAGGAGUUCUGAUUCCUGACACAGGUUUCCUGGUUGAAUGUUCUGUUGUAGAAGAAUGCAACUGAGUUUUCUAAACAGAUCUUCUUCUUGACAUCCUUGCUGAACGGGCAUGAAGAAUUUAGGAAUAAAGCAGAUCUGAUUUCUAAUUCUGACUUUGCUACUGGCAAAUUGUGUGGACUCAGGAAAGUGACCGGCCCUCUUUAAGACUCAGUGUGCUUACCUCUGAAAUGGAGCUGUCAAUCACAUCUGCCUCACAGGCUUGUUCUGAGGAUGAAGUGAGAAAAUGCCCACGAGGUGCUGGUUGCAGCAGCUGGUGCAUAGAGCUUAAAAAGGAUGCAGUCCCAAAACAUAGAAGGAUUUACUCCAGAUCCAAGCAAUGAGUCAGGAACAGAAAGCCUGAUGCCCUCACCUGGAACUCUCCCUCCUCCCUGGAUGAGGACCUUCCCCAGAAUUGCAGGGCACCCACACAAGACCAAGCAAGUUCAGAGAAAAUUGAAACCUGACUUUAGAGCCUCUGGGAUGUUCACUACACCUCAUUGAACCUGUUUGGUUCACAGUAGAGCUCCAACUACCGUCUACUUCCUGCAACUGGCCUGCUGCCAACUCCCCAGAUCUCUUGUGGAGCUGCCGGAAGAGACAGCCUGCCACAGAAGAAAGCAGCCCUCCUCUUUCAUGGCCUCCCACAUCUUGAAACAAACACAAGCAAACAAAACAAAA
Molecule: long non-coding RNA, 879 nt
Filed under: Homo sapiens (human)
Lineage: Eukaryota; Metazoa; Chordata; Mammalia; Primates; Hominidae
Description: long intergenic non-protein coding RNA 2568
Source: RNAcentral